ACACACACCGGCGUACUGGAACCUCUCUCGCGAUCCCGCACCCAGCUUGAAUUCAGCAAGAAUCGAAAACAGGUGUGCCCCCGUGGGGCGGUUCGAAGAUGGCCGAAUAGGAACAGCUCCAGUCUGCAGCUCCCAGCUUGAGCGACACAGAAGACGGGUGAUUCCUGCAUUUCCAACUGAGGUACUGGGUUCAUCUCACUGGGGCUUGUCAGACAGUGGGGGCAGGACAAUGGGUGCAGCCCACCGAGGGUGAGCCAAAGCAGGGCAAGGCAUCACCUCACCCGGGAAGUGCAAGGGGUCAGGGAAUUCCCUUUCCCAGCCAAGGGAAGCAGUGACGGAAAGCACCAGGAAAAUCAGGUCACUCCCACCCUAAUAUGCGCUUUUCCAAUGGUCUUAGCAAAUGGCACAUCAGGAGAUUAUAUCCCACGCCUGGCUCCCAGGGUCCCACGCCCAUGGAGCCUCGCUCAUUGCUAGCACACCAGUCUGAGAUCAAACUGCAAGGCGGCAGCGAGGCUGGGGGAGGGGCGCUUGCCAUUGCUGAGGCUUCAGUAGGUAAACAAAGCGGCCCAGAAGCUGGAACUGGGUGGAGCCCACAGCAGCUCAAGGAGGCCUGCCUGCCUUUGUAGACUCCACCUCUGGGGGCAGGGCAUAGCCAAACAAAAGGCAGCAGAAACCUCUGCAGACUUAAAUGUCCCUGUCUGACAGCUUUGAAGUGAGUAGUGGCUCUCCCAGCACGGAGUUUGAGAUCUGAGAAUGGACAGACUGCCUCCUCAAGUGGGUCCCUGACCCCCGAGUAGCCUAACUGGGAGGCACCCUCCAGUAGGGGCAGACUGACACCUCACACAGCCGGGUACACCUCUGAGACAAAGCUUCCAGAGGAACGAUCAGGCAGCAACAUUUGCUGUUCAGCAAUAUUCACUGUUCUCCAGCCUCCUCUGCUGAUACCCAGGCAAACAGGGUUUGGAGUGAACCUCCAGCAAACUCCAACAGACCUGCAGCUAACUGUCCUGACUGUUAGAAGGAAAACUAACAAACAGAAAGGACAUCCACACCAAAACGCCAUCUGUACGUCACCAUCAUCAAAGACCAAAGGUAGAUAGAACCACAAAGAUGGGGAAAAAACAGAGCAGAAAAGCUGAAAAUUCUAAAACUCGGAGCACCUCUCCCCCUCCAAAGGAAUGCAGCUCCUCACCAGCAAUGGAACAAAGCUGGAUGGAGAAUGAGUUUGACGAGUUGAGAGAAGAAGGCUUCAGAUGAUCAAACUUCUCCAAGCUAAAGGAGGAAUUUCGAACCCAUCGCAAAGAAGCUAAAAACCUUGAGAAAAGAUUAGACAAAUGGCUAACUAGAAUAACCAGUGUAGAGAAGUCCUUAAAUGACCUGAUGGAGCUGAAAACGAUGGCACAAGAACUACAUGAUGAAUGCACAAGCUUCAAUAGCUGAUUCCAUCAACUGGAAGAAAGGGUAUCAGUGAUUGAAGAUCAAAUUAAUGAAAUGAAGUGAGAAGUUUAGAGUAAAAAGAAAUGAACAAAGCCUCCAAGAAACAUGGGACUAUGUGAAAAGACCAAAUCUACAUCUGAUUGGUGUACCUGAAAGUGACGGGGAGAAUGGAACCAACUUGGAAAACACUCUGCAGGAUAUUACCCAUGAGAACUUCUCCAACCUAGCAAGGCAGGCCAAUAUUCAAAUUCAGGAAAUACAGAGAAUGCCACAAAGAUACUCUUCGAGAAGAGCAACUCCAAGACACAUAAUUGUAAGAUUCACCAAAGUUGAAAUGAAGGGGAAAAUGUUAAGGGCAGCCAGAAAGAAAGGUUGGGUUACCCACAAAGGGAAGCCCAUCAGACUAACAGCAGAUUGCUCGGCAGAAACUCUACAAGCCAGAAGAGAGUGGAAGCUAAUAUUCAACAUUCUUAAAGAAAAGAAUUUUUGACGCAGAAUUUCAAAUCCAGGCAAACUAAGCUUCACAAGUGAAGGAGAAAUACAAUCCUUUACAGACAAGCAAAUGCUGAGAGAUUUUGUCACCACCAGGCCUGCCCUAAAAGAGCUCCUGAAGGAAGCACUAAACAUGGAAAGAAACAACUGGUAACAGCCACUGCAAAAACAUGCCAAAUUCUAAAGACCAUCGAUGGCUAGGAAGAAACUGCAUCAACUAACAAGCAAAAUAACCGGCUAACAUCAUAAUGACAGGAUCAAUUUCACACAUAACAAUAUUAACCUUAAAUGUAAAUGGACUAAAUGCUCCAAUUAAAAGACACAGACUGGCAAAUUAGAUAAAGAGUCAAGACCCAUCAGCGUGCUGUAUUCAGGAGACCCAUCUCACAUGCAGAGACACACAUAGGCUCAAAAUAAAGAGAUGGAGGAAGAUCUACCAAGCAAAAGGAAAACAAAGAAAAGGAGGGGUUACAAUCCUAUGCUCUGAUAAAACAGACUUUAAACCAACAAAGAUCAAAAGAGACAAAGAAGGCCAUUACAUAAUGGUAAAGGAAUCAAUUCAACAAGAAGAGCUAACUAUCCUAAACAUAUAUGCACCCAAUACAGGAGCACCCAGAUUCAUAAAGCAAGCCCUUAGAGACCUACAAAGAGACUUAGACUCCCACACAAUAAUAAUGGGAGACUUUAAAACCCCACUGUCAACAUUAGACAGAUAAACGAGACAGAAAGUUAACAAGGAUAUCCAGGAAUUGGACUCAGCUCUGCACCAAGCAGACCUAAUAGACAUCUACAGAACUCUCCACCCCAAAUCAACAGAAUAUACAUUAUUCUCAGCACCACAUUGCACUUAUUCCAAAAUUGACCACACAGUUGGAAGUAAAGCACUCCUCAGCAAAUGUAAAAGAACAGAAAUCACAACAAACUGUCCCUCAGACCAUAGUGCAAUCAAACUAGAACUCAGGAUUAAGAAACUCACUCAAAACUGCUCAACUACAUGGAAACUGAACAACCUGCUCCUGAAUGACUACUGGGUAAAUAAUGAAAUGAAGGCAGAAAUAAACAUGUUCUUUGAAACCAAUGAGAACAAAGACACAACAUAUCAGAAUCUCUGGGACACAUUUAAAGCAGUGUGUACAGGGAAAUUUAUAGCACUAAAUGCUCACAAGAGAAAGCAGUAAAGACCUAAACUUGACACCCUAACAUCACAGUUAAAAGAACUAGAGAAGCAAGAGCAAACACAUUCAAAAGCUAGCAGAAGGCAACAAAUAACUAAGAUCAGAGCAGAACUGAAGAAGAUAGAGACACAAAAAACCCUUCAAAAAAUCAAUGAAUCCAGAAGCUGGUUUUUUGAAAAGAUCAACAAUAUUGAUAGACUGCUAGCAAGACUAAUAAAGAAGAAAAGGGAGAAGAAUCAAAUAGAUGCAAUAAAAAAUGAUAAAGGGGAUAUCACCACCAAUCCCACAGAAAUGCAAACUACCAUCAGAGAAUAUUAUAAACACCUCUAUGCCAAUAAACUAGAAAAUCUAGAAGAAAUGGAUAAAUUCCUGGACACAUACACCCUCCCAAGACUAAACCAAGAAGAAGUUGAAUCCCUGAAUAGACCAAUAACAGGCUCUGAAAUUGAGGCAAUAAUUAAUAGCCUACCAACCAAAAAAAAGUCCAGGACCAGAUGGAUUCACAGCCGAAUUCUACCAGAGGUACAAGGAGGAGCUGGUACCAUUCCUUCUGAAACUCUUCCAAUCAAUAGAAAAAGAGGGAAUCCUCCCUAACUCAUUUUAUGAGACCAGCAUCAUCCUGAUACCAAAGCCGGGCAGAGACACAACCAAAAAAGAGAAUUUUACACCAAUAUCCUUGAUAAACAUUGAUGCAAAAAUCCUCAAUAAAAUACUGCCAAACUGAAUCCAGCAGCACAUCAAAAAGCUUAUCCACCGUGAUCAAGUGGGCUUCAUCGCUGGGAUGCAAGGCUGGUUUAACAUACGCAAAUCAAUAAACGUAAUCCAGCAUAUAAACAGAACCAAAGACAAAAACCACAUGAUUAUCUCAAUAGAUGCAGAAAAGGCUUUUGACAAAAUUCAACACCCUUCAUGCUAAAAACCGUCAAUAAAUUAGGUGUUGAUGGGAUGUAUCUCAAAAUAAUAAGAGCUAUUUAUGACAGACCCACAGCCAAUAUAACACUGAAUGGACAAAAACUGGAAGCAUUCCCUUUGAAAACUGGCACAAGACAGGGAUGCCCUCUCUCACCACUCCUAUUCAAAAUAGUGUUGGAAGUUCUGGCCAGGGCAAUCAGGCAAGAGAAAGAAAUAGAGGGAGUUCAAUCAGGAAAAGAGGAAGUCAAAUUGUCCCUGUUUGCAGAUGACAUGAUUGUAUAUUUAGAAAACCCCAUCAUCUCAGCCCAAAAUCUCCUUAAGCUGAUAAGCAACUUCAGCAAAGUCUCAGGAUACAAACUCAAUGUGCAAAAAUCACAAGCAUUCUUAUACACCAAUAACAGACAGAGAGCCAAAUCAUGAGUGAACUCCCAUUUACUAUUGCUUUAAAGAGAAUAAAAUACCUAGGAAUCAAACUUACAAGGGAUGUGAAGGACCUCUUCAAGGAGAACUACAAACCACUGCUCUACAAAAUAAAAGAGGACACAAACAAAUGGAAGAACAUUCCAUGCUCAUGGGUAGGAAGAACCAAUAUCCUGAAAAAGGCCAUACUGCCCAACGUAAUUUAUAGAUUCAAUGCCAUCCCCAUCAAGCUACCAAUGACUUUCUUCACAGAAUUGGAAAAAACUACUUUAAAGUUCAUAUGGAACCAAAAAAGGGCCUGCAUUGCCAAGACAAUCCUAAGCCAAAAGAACAAAGCUGGAGGCAUCACGCUACCUGACUUCAAACUAUACUACAAGGCUACAGUAACCAAAACAGCAUGGUACUGGUACCAAAACAGAUAUAUAGAUCUUGGAACAGAACAGAGCCCUCAGAAAUAAUACCACACAUCUACAACCACUGAUCUUUGACAAACUGGACAAAAACAAGCAAUGGGGAAAGGAUUCCCUAUUUAAUAAAUGGUGCUGGGAAAACUGGCUAGCCAUAUGCAGAAAGCUGAAACUGGAUCCCUUCCUUACAUCUUCUACAAAAAUUAAGUCACGAUGGAUUAAAGACUUAUAUGUUAGACUUAAAACCAUAAAAACCCUAGAAGAAAACCUAGGCAAUACCAUUCAGGACAUAGGCAUGGGCAAGGACUUCAUGUCUAAAACACCAAAAGCAAUGGCAACAAAAGCCAAAAUUGACAAACAGGAUCUAAAUAAACUAAAGAGCUUCUGCACAGCAAAAGAAACUACCAUCAGAGUGAACAGGCAACCUACAGAAUGGGAGAAAAUUUUUGCAAUCUACUCAUCUUACAAAGGGCUAAUAUCCAGAAUCUACAAUGAACUCAAACAGACACACAAGGAAAAAACAAACAACCCCAUCAAAAAGUGGGUGAAGGAUAUGAACAGACACUUCUCAAAAGAAGACAUUUAUGCAGCCAACAGACACAUGAAAAAAUGCUCAUCAUCUCUGGCCAUCAGAGAAAUGCAAAUCAAAACCACAAUGAGAUACCAUCUCACACCAGUUAGAAUAGCAAUCAUUAAAAAGUCAGGAAACAACAGGUGCUGGAGAGGAUGUGGAGAAAUAGGAAUGCUUUUACACUGCUGGUGGGACUAUAAACUAGUUCAACCAUUGUGGAAGUCGGUGUGGCCAUUCCUCAGGGAUCUAGAACUAGAAAUACCAUUUGACCCAGCCAUCCCAUUACUGGGUAUAUACCCAAAGGAUUAUAAAUCAUGCUGCUAUAAAGACACAUGCACACAUAUGUUUAUUGCGGCCCUAUUCACAAUAACAAAGACUUGGAACCAACCCAAAUGUCCAUCAAUGAUAGACUGGAUUAAGAAAAUGUAGCACAUAUACACCAUGGAAUACCAGGCAGCCAUAAAAAAGGAUGAGUUCAUGUCCUUUAUAGGGACAUGGAUGAAGCUGGAAAACAUCAUUCUCAGCAAGCUAUCGCAAGGAUAAAAAACCAAACACCUCAUGUUCUCACCCAUAGGUGGGAAUUAAACAAUGAGAACACUUGGACACAGGAAGGGGAACAUCACACACUGGGGCCUGUCAUGGGGUGGGGGGAGGGGGGAGUGAUAGCAUUAGGAGAUAUACCUAUGUAAAUGACGAGUUAAUGGGUCAGCACACCAACAUAGCACAUGUAUACACAUGUAACAAACCUGCACAUUGUGCACAUGUACCCUAGAACUUAAAGUAUAAUAAAAAAUAUAUAUAUAGGCAAAGAAUAAGAUAGAAAAAAAAAUAAUAGUAUUAUUUGUUCUCUCUGCUUGUUAGAGGGCAGGGGAACCUGUAUCUUUUGUUUCAUGGGGGUCACACACUUCUCCAGGAUUAGCUCCAGACUAGAAAAUUAUUGCCAGGCCAAUAAAACAUCCUAUCUUUGGGGGUCCAAUAUUUGGUUGAUUUUGUUUGUUCACCUUUCAAUCACCAGAAUCCCCUUCUUAUCAAUAAUUCCACCACCGCUCAAGAAUUCACAAAAUUAAAACAAAAAUGAUCUCUCUCAUUUACCAUAUUAGCACUACAUAUUUCACAAACAUGAUUUCAUCUUCACUAUCAGGGAGGUAUUACCAAACCCUUUAAUAGAGGAGGGAGCUGAGAAUCAGAGAUGAUCACCAACGUGCCCAAAUUCACACAGCAUAGAAAGUGUGGAGAGAGAGUCAAAUGCAGACCAGCUGUACUCCAGAAUCUACACCCCAGAAUCUACACUCCUAGCCAUCUUGCUCAAUUUUCUCCAAAAAAUGCUGUGAUCCUUUUAGGAGCUUGUGUAUUGAUUAAGAUAAAACAUUUCUCUGUAGUGCAAUAUUUAAGUACGAUGAAGCAAUCCAAAUGCAAAUAAUACAUGCUGUAGUUUUGAAUAAAGACACAAAAUAAGCUACCCCAUAUAACCAAAAUCUCUAAUGACUAGGAUUUGGCUUAUUACAGGACUGCCGAAGCUGAGAGUAACUACCCCUGGUUUCAUUUCCAACUCAUGAAUUUUUCGCCAUCCUUCUCUGCCCGCCUUUCCUUUACUACACAGUGAGCCGCACUCCUGGAACAAGCUUCCCUUGAAGUUCACCCUCUGAGCGCCACGGCCCCUCUCCAGCCUGCAUUCCACUGUAAGGUUGAGAAAUAUCUGAUUGUUAGUGAUGAGAGAGAAAACCUAGCCUCAUUCUCUGGUGGCCUGUCUUGCAAAAGAGAGAUGAAAUCAAACCUGGCUUCCUGAGAUUCCAAAUCACAAACAUCACAUACUAGUUUUUUUUUUUAAUAAAAUCAUGGGGCCAGAUGUGGUAGCUCACACCUGUAAUACCAGCACUUUGGGAGGCUGAGGCAGAACAAUCACUUGAGGCCAGGAGUUCAAGACCAGCCUGGAAAACAAAGGGAAACGCACUUCUACAAAAAAUUUAAAAAUUAGUCACAUGUGGUAGCAUGAACUUGUAGUUCCAGCUACUUGGGAGGCUGGGGCAGGAGGAUCGCUUGAGCCCAGGAGCUGGAGGCUACAAUGAGCCAGGAUUGCACUACUGCACUCCAGCCUGGGUGACAGAGGGAGACCUUGUCUAAAUAAAUAUCAUAGAAAGGUGGGGAACUCACUCAGAGUGUCCCACAUUGUCUUUUUCUUUCUUUUUUUCAAAAUUAAGAGACAGGGACAGCAAGGCGCGGUGACUCACUCCUGUGAUCCCAACACUUUGGGAGGCCGAGGUGGGUGGAUCACCUGAGCUCAGGAGUUCAAGAACAGCCUGGCCAACAUGGUGAGACCCUGUCUCUACUAAAAACACAAAAAUUAGCCAGGCAUGGUGGCACACACCUGUAAUCCCAGCUACUCAGGAGGCUGAGGCAGGAGAAUCGCUCGAACCCCGGAGGCAGAGAUUGCAGUGAGCCAAGAUUGUGCCACUGCGUUCCACCCUGGGAAACAAAGCAAGAUUCCAUCUCCAAAAAAAGAAAAAGAGAGAGAGAGAGAGAGCUAGGGUCUUACUAUAUUGCCCAGGGUGGAAUGCAGUGUCUACUCAGAGGCCCAGUCCCACUACUGAUUCUGCUCAUAUCUGACCUAAGCCAGUUCGCCCCUCCUUAAACAACGUGGUGGACCCCACUCCAGGAGGUCACCAUAUUGAUGCCAAACUUAGUUCAGACACCCAAUUGCUACAGCACACUACAGCUCAGAACUCCUGGGCUCAAGCAAUUGUUUUGCCUCAGCCUCUCAAGUAGCUGAGACCACAGGUGUGCACUAUUGAGCCUCACUUCCCUUAGCAUAUCUUUUUGAACAGCCUUUUCUUUAUAUUGAGAUACCUGAAAAGGGCUCUUUACAAAAUCCACUCGAAUUCCCUUCUCUCCUCUCUGCUGUCCUUUAUUAUUGAUGACAUUUUUGAUAAUUAUCUGAUUAUAGAAAAACUCCAAAAAGCCAGGAAGAAGUGCUGAUUUUUGUUUUGUUUUGAGAUGGAAUCUCACUCUGUCACUCAGGCUGGAGUGCGGUGGUGCAAUCUUGGCUCACUGCAACCUUCGCCUCCCAGGUUCAAGUGAUUCUCCCUGCCUCAGCCUCCCAAGUAGCUGGGAAUACAGGUGUCUGGCACCACACCCAGCUAAUUUUUGUAUUUUUAGUAUAGCUGGGUUUUCACCAUGUUGGCCAGACUGGUCUCGAACUCCUGACCUCAGGUGAUCCACCCGCCUUGGCCUCCCAAAGUGCUGGGAUUACAGGUGUGAGCCACUGCGCCCAUCCAAAGUGCUGUAUUAUUUCACUCAUCACUGCUAUUGGUUUCAGCAUAUGCAUACACAGGUGCCUGUAUUUUUGGCCUGACAUCUAUGCUCCAUUCUCUUUGGAUUUCAGGGAUACAUGACAAUUGUUCUAGUUCUUUUGCUGUAACUGAUGAAUACAAAAUAACCCCGUAGUAGAAUGUACCACCUGGAACAUCAAGAAAGUGAUUUUACAGGAUUUAGCAUUCCAUUUGGGGGCUGCAGAACCUGUCAUCAGAUAAUGGGAUUUGAAUGAUAAAUGAACUGUCUCAUGUCAAUCCCUUUGUGAAAAUUAGAGCUUUUAAAGUCUAGGUUUAGCUUGCUUAAACUGAGAAAUGGCCAGGCAAAUAGUCAUGUCAGUAGAAAUAUAACAUCUAAAAGUCAAGAUCUUUUUCCCUUCCUUUAGUUGUCAUUAUUUGUGAAAUUUCACACCAGAAGACAAUUGUGAUUUUUUUUGAACCAGAAAGAUUGUGAAAAUUAGCUCGUAUUAGACCUGUGAUGAAUCUUCAACUCUAGAAAAGAAAAAGAAAUGUGCUCUAAGAAGAAAUAAGAGGCCGGGUGCAGUGCCUCAAGCCUGUAUUCCCAACACUUUGGGAGGCCAAGGCAGGCGGAUCACUUGAGGUCAGGAGUUCGAGACCAGCCUGGCCAACAUGGCAAAACCCCGUCUCUACCAAAAAUACAAAUAUUAGCUGGGUGUGGUGAUGCAUAACUGUAAUCCCAACUACUCAGGAAGCUGAGGCAGGAGAAUCGCUUGAACCUGGGAGGCAGAGGUUUCAGUGAGCCGAGAUCGUGCCACUGCACUCCAGCCUGGGAGACAGAGCAAGACUCUGCCUUAAAAAUAAAUAAAUUAAAAGAAGAGAUUUAUAGGUAAACAAAAACAUGCAUUUUCUCUCUGUACUAUGUGCAUUCUUCCCCAAUCUUCCCUAAAGAAAAUAUCCCCUAGGAAGAAAGGUCUGAAACCUUGGAAAUUAUUUUUACUAGUCUUAGAAAUAUGUAUAACAAAUAUGCAAAAACAUGAACAAGCAAAGUAAUCCAAGCUAUUGAAAACCUAAUAAGAUCAGCUUACUCAUAUGCCUCCAAGACAGAAUGCUAUCAGCCCUCUGCAAUUUUAAGACCAAGACUCUGACUUCUGCCAGGUGCAAAACCCAUGGAGAGAAAUACUCUAUAGAUGAAGAAAGACUUGAGUUAGACCCUGAAGAGUAAGCAGAAUUUUCAUAUCUGUGAAUAGAACCCACGGCCUCUGAGACAGAGCAACCCCUGAUAAAGGAGACCAAAACAGAAGCACCCUGGGCAGGAUGUCUCAGGGAUGCUCAAAUUGUUGGGAAAGUUGGGGCAUGUGAAGGGGAAAAACAGGCAGGAAGAUAGAAAAGAUCGUCUCCCUUGGCUGAGAAGUUUGGACUCUAGUAUGUAGGCAAUAGAAACUCAUCAAAGGUUUCUAUGCAGAGCAGUGACAGGAUAAAGCAGGACUUUAUGAAAACUGAUCUUUCAGGAAAAGCUGGGAGGGACUGAAAUAGGAUGGAAACUGCAGGUAGAAAGACCACUCUCAAAGCUAUUAGAACAAUGCAGGCAAAAGACUGAACCAUGACCUUGGGCUCAGCUAUGUAAGUCAAGACUAGGUAUUGGACCACUGUUAUUUUCUAAUGUCAAAUCAAUGACUUUAGAUUGGAGGGAAUUUAGGAAUUGUUUUGCCAAAAAUUCACAAACCUGUGGCAAAAUCAGACUGGUGGUAAAGUGCACGUGUGUGUGUGUGUGUGUGUGUGUGUGUGUGUGUGUAUAAACAUGUAUACAAAUAUAUAUAUAAUUUUUUUAGUUUUCUGAAUUAGUUACCCAAGUUUUAAAAUUGGGAGAUUUCAGAUGAAAACCCCAGAUUUCUGGAUUUUUGAAAUUUGGCAUUGUCAUAUUGGGCUCAAAGCCUUCACCUGACCCUCACCCUGCAUAAUCCUCUUAAGCUUCAUUUAGUCCCAUUCCUGUCCUGCCAUUCAUACCCCAAUCUUAAAGAUGAAGACACUGAAACCCGAGGAAGGUAAGGAAUUUUCCCAAAGUUUCACUGACAGUUGUUGGCAAAGUCUGCAAGGAUGAUGUGACAUAAUGCCUGUCCCAUUCCUUACAGCAACUGGACAUAUAUGAUCUCUGUUCCUCAUAAGCCCUUAAGAGUAGACAUCAUUAUCCCCAUUUUGUAGAAGAGGAAACGGGUUGAAAGAUUAGGUAACUUCCCCAAAGCCACAUAGCUGGUCAGCGGUGGAGACAAUGUUCAAACCUAGAUCUUUCCAGGUCUUUCUUAUUACACAAUUAGUGUAAGAUUCUGAAACCGGACAAACCUGCUUAAAAUCGAGGCUGGUCAUUGACUGGCUGUGUGAUGGCAGGGAUGUUACUCAGCCUGUCUGAGCUUCACAUUUUUGGUUUUCAGACUGAAAUGAGCAUGUGUCUAACAGCAAUUAACACAUGUUAAUUAUUUUACAGUCACAGUUUGCUUUUUGAGAAAAAGCACUGUUAAUGGAUAUGAUCAGAUACUUUAUUUGUGUUGUUGGCUCUGAAAAUCUUUUUAAUCCCCAAAAAAUAAAAUCUAACCCCAAAGACAGUGUCAACCACUGAUACUAUUCUAAAGAUUGUGCCAUAAGAUCUAAACCUUUUUCCUAAAGAUUCCAAAAAAAUCAGAGGUAACAGUAGCAGUGUUGGCAGUAGAACUCUCACAUAAGAGACAGGGAUGGAGGCAUAUGCGCCCCAUGUCUCACUCCUCCUUCUACUUUCCUUGCCAGUGUUCCUGUUUGGCAAAACCAGCAACAUCUGGGCCCACACUACAAAAGGACCCAGAAAAUAUAGUUUAUAGCUUCCUAGCCCCUUUGAUACAGAAAAGCAUGCAAGAAAGGUGGACCAGUCAUCUGCAUCUGUCACAAAAUUGCCCUAAGAACCAGCUUGUCAGCCAUAGAAGAAAACUGUAUCUCAUUAUUUUAUGUUCACAUUUUGCUUUUUGAGAGAAAGCACUGUGAGUAGAUUUGAUCAGAUACUUUAUUUGUGUUGUUGGUUCUGAAAAUCUUUUUAAUCCCCAAAAAAUAAAAUCCAACCCCAAAGAUAGUGUCAACCACUGAUGGUAUUCUAAAGAUUGUGCCAUAAGAUCUGAACCUUCUUCCAAAAGAUUCCAAAAAAAUUGGGCUUAACAGUAGCAAUAUUGGAAGUAGCAUUUAGCAUCCUACUUUGAAAGGGACAGCGCUCAUUAGGAUAGAGACAUUCUAAAAUGUUUGCUUUUUAAUCAGCCCUAUUAGUCACAGACAUACCUCACUGGAGUUACCCUCCAGCUUCCUCCAAGGAAGAUAGCCAAACACCUGAUGGUGAGCAAAGCCAUUACCAUCUUGACUUCCUGCCAGAAUUCUUACCACCAUCAACCUUUCAAAACAGGUUGAUUAGUGGAUCUGGCAAACAAAAGCACUGUAAUUAUUCAAUACUUACACAGAAAUCCUCCCAUAAAACAAGUAUGCUUCAAAAAAUCAUAUUGUCUUAACAAUGACCAUGUUCCCCUUUGGUUGAAUUGGCCUCUUUUGUAAGAUUCUAAUUACCCAAAAUUAAGGGUUUUUGGGGGUUUUUGUUUGUUUUUGUUCUUUUGUUUUGUUUUACCAUGCUAGGACUGGGUAACUUUAUUCAAGACCUUGACAAAAUGAUCCCCAAAGUAAUAUAAAUGUAGACACUUUAAAAAGUCCAGAUGUGGAAGUGAGGAGCGCCUCUGCCCGGCCACCCAUCAUCUGGGAGGUGAGGAGCGCCUCUGCCCGGCUGCCCUGUCUGGGAAGUGAGGAGUGCCUCUGCCCGGCCACCCCAUCUGGGAAGUGAGGAGCACCUCUGCCCGGCCGCCCCCAUCUGGGAAGUGAGGAGCGCUUCUGCCCGGCCUCCCCGUCUGGGAAGUGAGGAGCGUCUCUGCCCAGCCGCCCAUCGUCUGGGAUGUGAGGAGCGCCUCUACCCGGCCGCCCCGUCUGGGAAGUGAGGAGCGUCUCUGCCCGGCCGCCCAUCGUCUGGGAGGUGAGGAGUGCCUCUGCCCGGCCACCCCGUCUGGGAAGUGAGGAGCACCUCUGCCUGGCCGCUGUGCAAUCUUCCAAGUGUGAAGUGACAGGCUUUCUGCAGGUGUACCCAACAGCUCCAAAGAGACAGCGACCAUUGAGAAGGGGCCAUGAUGACGAUGGUGGUUCUGUCAAAAAGAAAAGGGGGAAAUGUGGGGAAAAGAAAGAGAGAUCAGAUUGUUACUGUGUCUGUGUAGAAAGAAGUAGACAUAAGAGACUCCAUUUUGUUCUGUACUAAGAAAAAUUCUUCUGCCUUAGGAUGCUGUUAAUCUAUAACCUUACCCCCAACCCCGUGCUCUCUGAAACAUGUGCUGUGUCAACUCAGGGUUAAAUGGAUUAAGGGCAGUGCAAGAUGUGCUUUGUUAAACAGAUGCUUGAAGGCAGCAUGCUCGUUAAGAGUCAUCACCACUCCCUAAUCUCAAGUACCCAGGGACACAAACACUGCGGAAGGCCGCAGGGACCUCUGCCUAGGAAAACCAGAGACCUUUGUUCACAUGUUUAUCUGCUGACCUUCUCUCCACUAUUAUCCUAUGACCCUGCCACAUCCCCCUCUCCGAGAAACACCCAAGAAUGAUCAAUAAAUACUAAAAAAAAAAAAAAA
Molecule: long non-coding RNA, 13343 nt
Filed under: Homo sapiens (human)
Lineage: Eukaryota; Metazoa; Chordata; Mammalia; Primates; Hominidae
Description: non-protein coding lnc-SULF1-3:12
Source: RNAcentral